GUGCCAGCCGCCGCGGUAAUACGGAGGGUGCAAGCGUUACUCGGAAUCACUGGGCGUAAAGAGCGCGUAGGCGGUCCGGUAAGUCAGAUGUGAAAGCCCGGGGCUCAACCCCGGAAGUGCAUUUGAAACUGCCGGACUUGAGUAUGGGAGAGGGAAGUGGAAUUCCUGGUGUAGAGGUGAAAUUCGUAGAUAUCAGGAGGAACACCGGUGGCGAAGGCGACUUCCUGGACCAAUACUGACGCUGAGGCGCGAAGGCGUGGGGAGCAAACAGGAUUAGAUACCCUGGUAGUCCACGCAGUAAACGGUGAACACUAGGUGUAGCGGGUAUUGACCCCUGCUGUGCCGAAGCUAACGCAUUAAGUUCUCCGCCUGGGGAGUACGGCCGCAAGGCUAAAACUUAAAUGAAUUGACGGGG
Molecule: ribosomal RNA, 415 nt
Filed under: uncultured prokaryote
Description: bacterial SSU rRNA
Rfam family: Bacterial small subunit ribosomal RNA
Source: RNAcentral